Molecule: long non-coding RNA, 336 nt
Organism: Sinocyclocheilus rhinocerous
Lineage: Eukaryota; Metazoa; Chordata; Actinopteri; Cypriniformes; Cyprinidae
Exons: 3
Source: RefSeq, a predicted model, not a curated record
AGGCUUUGGAGUGCAAAGUCUUGAAAAUGUUUUGUGCAUCUGAUGUGAUUUCUUUUCUAGGCUAAAGUCCUCCGUGAGACUAAAGCCAUCCCAAAUCUCAUUUUCAACAUUGAACAGUAUGAGAAGUUUCUCAUUCUUCUCUCCAAGAAAUCCAAGGUCAAUCUGAUGCAGUACAUGAAACUGAGCACUUCCAGAGACUUCAGAAUCAAUGCUGCCACAUUGGAAGCCGCACUGCAGGAACAGGAACAGCAGCGGGAUCAAAGCCAACAGACUGAAGAUGCUCAGGUUUCCGAGGAAAAUCAAGCACCAAAGAAAAAGAGGAGGAAGCAGUGAAAA